GCACAAUGGGGGAAACCGUGAUGAAGCCAUGCCGCUUGUGUGUAAAAGAGCUUUGGGAAAAGAAACCCCUUCAGAAAGGAAGAAAGGUUGGUAGCUAAUAACUGCCAGCUGUGUCGCUACUCGCAGAAGAAGCACCGGCUAACUCCGUGCCAGCAGCCGCGGUAAUACGGAGGGUGCAAGCGUUAAUCGGAAUUACUGGGCGUAA
Molecule: ribosomal RNA, 205 nt
Filed under: uncultured bacterium
Lineage: Bacteria
Description: partial 16S ribosomal RNA
Rfam family: Bacterial small subunit ribosomal RNA
Source: RNAcentral